GAGAGGAUUAGGGAGAGAAUCUUGGAAAAUGUCUGUCAUUCAUUUCUCAUGCCUUUCUGUUCCUAUGAUCAGGGAAUAUAAAGACAAACUCUACUUCCUUCCUAUUGCCAGCGUGACACUCCACACCUGGCCAUUCUUUCCAACUUCUUCUUCUUUAAAAAGACUGCACAAAACGCAGUCGUUUGGGUUACAAUCAGUUUAAAUCGAUCCCGCUUCCCUCUAUGUUUCUUUUGUUUCCAGCUAUGACAAUGCCCCCUCCAUGACCAUAACCUUGUCCUCAAGGUAAAAUUCAGGAAACCUCAAGCACAAUUCAUCAGCAUAUUCCCAGGUUGUUUCUGUCAAGGGUAAGUUCUUCCAUAAAACCAAGAACGGAAUAGCUGCAGCAUUCCCUCUUUUGACCAUUCUUCUAUCGACAAUUUGUUGUGGUUGCAAAAGAGAUCUAUUUGUAGGAGUAGGAAGAUCAGAGUGGAUAGUCUGAUUGCCUACAUGCUUCUUCAGCUGAGAAACAUGAAAGACAAGAUGGAUUGCUGCUGUUGCAGUCGUAUCUCAAAGACUCUGACCUCGAAGACUGAAGGAAGCCAUUGAAUGGUUAUUUGAAGCUUAUGCAGAAUAGUGUUUGUCAGGAAAGCUUUAUAAAUAGUGGCAUCUUGUUCCUUAUCUCAGCCUGCCCAUUGGAUUAUCGGAUCAGAUUCAACAAGCGAUGUUCCAUGGCUUGAGAAGAACAGGGAAAGCAGGUCGUGGAGAAUGCAGAACAUCUUCAACUCCAUCAGCAAGUUGAAAAGGGUAACAAAAAUUUGGCGGCAGGUACUGUAGAUAAAAUAGAGUCAGGUUGAGGUUAGAUCCUGGAAGGCAAAACAAAAAUUAUAGACUGUUAUCAACCGAGUUGAGAAAAAGAAUUGUUGAUGAUUUUAACAUCUUUAAAGCGACCCCUUCGUCUACAAA
Populus trichocarpa (black cottonwood) is the source of this 942-nucleotide long non-coding RNA. RefSeq lists it as uncharacterized. NCBI's taxonomy places the organism in Eukaryota, Viridiplantae, Streptophyta, Magnoliopsida, Malpighiales, Salicaceae. The transcript has 3 exons. The record is from RefSeq and is a predicted model, not a curated record.